This 4239-nucleotide long non-coding RNA is filed under the name Homo sapiens (human). RNAcentral describes it as "HSALNT0399866". Lineage: Eukaryota; Metazoa; Chordata; Mammalia; Primates; Hominidae. The record is from RNAcentral.
GCGGCCGGGAGGCGGGGGCGGAGGGGGCAGAGGAGGAGGAGCGGGGAAGGACCGACGGUAGGAGGGCCCGCCGCUGGCCAACUCCGCCGGUUGGCAAAGCCACCCCGGACUGGCUCUGGCCUCGCCGGCUGCAGGAGCGCCUCGCGGGGCCGCCCGCCUAUUCCAUGGUCGGCGCGAUGGGGGCCGGGGCCGGGCCGGAGCGAACAGGGAGCACCGAGCGAGCUGGGAGCAUGAGCUAGCGCAGCUCCCGGCAGCCUGCAGCGGCGAGGCUGGUCGGGCCAGGGUUGGCGGGGGGCAGUGCCUGGGACACAGCCCGGCGCUGGCCGGCAUGGCGGGGAGGGGGCGCGCUGGGAGGAGACUGGGCUGGGGAGGGAUCCCUGUGUGCAGUCCUUCAACCCUUCUGUGCCAGGGGAAGAGGGACGGCGCAGGGGGCCCCCUCUCGGGAAGCACACACGCUGCCUCCCAGAGGCCGAUCUUCACCAAGAAGGAUUCGCUGGAAACUUUCGGAAAACCGAGGGGCUCUUCAGCCUCCUCUCUACGUGCUACCUGGAGUCGGGGCGCCGCGAGUGCGCUUGGCUGCCCGCGCCCAGCCUCUGGCCUCGCCUCUUCUCGCGGGCCUCCCGGGUUUCCCUCUGCCCCCUUGCGGGGAUCCCCCUGUGCGCCCGACUCGGGAUCUGGAACAGGCCUCCCCAGAGGCUGUUAGUUCCAUAAGGGUGUCCGGCUCCCCCCUCUGUCUUGGGCUCACACUUCGCUUUCUGUUCGUGCUGGACCAAGUCCAAUACUGUGGCUGAUCGAAGUGGGGACAGCUGGCACGGUCCCUGGAGAGGCGGCCUGAAGAGGCUUCUGGCCUUGUGCAGGUAACACCAGCCUGCCCUACCUCCAACGUUAGAAUCUUAGUCCUCCCAUUUCCCCCAUUCUAGGUCUCCUGCCCCUCCUUGCUGAAGGUGUGGGCUGCCCUAGAGAUGGCUGGACUCACGACCUGCCGCAGUCUUUGGAAGCUCCCUCCAGAAACCGAACUGUGAAAGGAGCAAGAGUUGAAAUGAAGAAUGUGCUCUGAUACUUCAGUCUGAGAGUAUUUCUUUCCUGGAGAGAGAGGCAUCACUCCUAGAUGUGUGGGGGUCUUCACCCUUUCAGGAAUAAGACAGGUCCCUGCAGAGACUUUGGACCUGAUGUGGUGAAUAAAGUUGGUUAGUCUUUCUCACAGUUCUACCUUUAGGACAAAGAAUAGAAAGCCUCCCGUGACUAUAUUCACUAACUCUCAGCCCAGGCCAGAUCAUCCACCAGCCAGUGAAAGGGACCUCGUCUGUGGCCAAACUAGGUGCAGCUCGGUGCCCUCCUGUGAUAUUUCCAGCUCUCCAGCCUCCUGCUGACCACAGCUCACAGACCUCAUGGAGUAGUUUCCAGGACAAAGCAAGGUUAUGUCUCCACAACACCAAACAUUCCCAGGUGUGGCAGGCAAGCCAUUGAUUUAGAAGAGAGGAGGAGAGAGGAAGAGAAAACCAGAAAAGGCACUUUCUUGGUAAAGAGACAUCAGCUUUCUCACCAUGGCUGUUUCAUAACACAAGGAGACCUGGCCCAAGCUCAGAGGGGAAAGACCCCUGGGUGUUCAUGGAAAACCUUUAAGCACAGUGAGACCAAAUGUUAGUAGAUGGGGGAUAAAAGGGAGAAAUUCAUGGAGUAUGCCUAGAACAGGCCUUGUAUGCAGCAUCCCCUUCUUGCCUAGGACUUGAAGGGCCAGGCUUCCUGUCAUUGCCUCACUCAAAUGUAGCCCAGGAAGACAUUAGACUGAUAGCACUGAUCACCUCCAGACAAAACCCCUGCACCUGCACAGUCACAUAGACUUGGACAAAAGCCCAUCCUUACUAAGGAAGACCUAACAACUAUUUCUUCUCACGCCCAUUCUUGUCCACCGUCUUUAUCAAAAAGCCAGGAAAACUGCUUCUUCAGACACUUUCUGAGCCGGCUGUAUUUUGAAGGACAAAAAAAAAAAAAUUACUCUUUUGAGAGCAUUGUGUCUGCAAGGUGGGCUCACGUUAUUUUUGGUGAUCAGUUUAUGACUGGAGUUCAAAUAGACUGCUUAUUUUAUAAGAGUUUUUAAUUUUGAAUAUUCUUUUUGCUGAACUGUGUGCAUUUGUUUGGUUUUUAACUCACCACAUGAAUAUGACUAUAGAUUUUUUUUUCCUAGUUGACCAUGGUCAGAUUCACAAUUGCCUUUAAAAAAAAUUUGUUGGCUGGGCACGGUGGCUCACGCCUGUAAUCCCAACACUUUAGGAGGCUGAAGCAGGUGGAUCAUCUGAGGUCAGAAGUUCGAGGCCAACCUGGCCAACAUGGUGAAACUCCGUCUCUACUAAAAAUACAAAAAUUAGCCAGGCAGGGUGGCGCAUGCCUGUAAUCCCAGCUACUCAGGAGGCUAAGGCAGGAGACUCUCUUGAACCCGGAAGGUGGAGGUUGCAGUGAGCCGAGAUCACGACACUGCACUCCAGCCUGGGUGGCAGAGCGAGACUCUGUCUCAGAAGAAAAAAAAAAAAAAAAGAAAAUGUGUUGAAGUAUAACAUACAUGAGGCAAAACGCACACAGCUUAAGCAUUAACUCAAUGACUCUGUAUAUACGUAUACAUCCUCACAGGUUCCAGACCAAGACAUGGAACAUUUCCUGCUCUCCCUGAAAGUCUCCCUGUGCCAGCCCCUCACCAGGCAAUAAUUCCCCAGAGAUAGUGCCUCUUCCCAACCCUGUACCCUAGAUCAUUGUUGCCUGUCCUUGAACCUCAGAUAAAGGGAGGCUCCUUUUGCCCAUCUUCGUUUUUGUGAUGUCUGUCCAUUGUGGUGUGCAUAGCUGUGAUUUGUUCUUUUUCACACUGUGAAGGUGUAGGUGGUUUUCACCUGAUGCUUCAGUUCCCUUCCAACUUUAGUAUAAGCCAAGAAUAAUCAAACCACUACAUCUGGAUCAGAGACAAAUGACCUCCCAGAUUGGCUAGUUUUGUAAGGAACUUCAGUUGAAAUUGAAACAGUCAUCAGCUGCUUCUCAAACCAGCUACACUACAUAAGGAGGAGCCCAAGGGAAACUGCAGGACAACAGGUCCACUGGGAAACUUCAGGGGGCCAAGCUGUCAAAGACAAGCACAGAAAAAUUCCUGCAAUGUGCGUUAGACCUUGAGGCAGCUUUUAAUGGCAAAAGUCAGUACAACCCAUUUCCUUUUUCUCUAAAUGAGAGGAAAGUAGAAUAGGUUCCAUCAGGAAAGAGUCACACCCAGGCCAUGACAAACUCAUGGAGGAUCCUGUCAAUCAAAUUCCUUUCUGCUGGGCAGAAAAAGUAUGUGGGAGCUUGUUAGUAAGGUGCAUUCCCAACCUAUCCUGAGGAUGUGGGACUCAGGAAGCCCAACAAUCUGCCCUAUUUACAAGGUCCCAGGUAUCCUUUCAUAUUAAGAUUUGAGACCUGCUGUUUCAGAGAAAGGGACAGCUUGGCAUGUAUUUUUUGGUAAAUCCUGGAGGGCAAGUCUAAAAAGCAAAAAAUAUACCGCCCAGCACCUAUUUGUUGAUAUUUUAAAUUGACUUGUUUGGGGUGUUUGGAAGAAAUAAAGACAGAGUAUGAAAACACAACCUGUAGCUAUGUCUAUAUGUAUUUCAUUUUUCACUUGAGUACUAUGUUUCUUAAAGACUCCUGUAAGAAAUAAUUCAGAACCACAUAAAUAAUAAAGAGAUUAAAAUUUUAAAUCCACAGAGGACAAACAUUAAGUAUUCACAAUUUGAGGAAUUUGUUCAUUCUGUCAGGAUCAUUCAGAAAGAAAACACAUACAUGCCACUAAUUUAAUUUUGCCCUCGUAAACUUGGGCAGACAAGGUGCUGAGUGUGGCAGAGGAGCCUGGGGAGAGCCCUGAGGGCUUAUUUUUGUUAAUAUACAAAUAUUAGGCUUAGGUAUCCUAUAUUUUAAAUCAAGACAAUAGAUCUAAAAAAUGUUUUAGCAUUUUGAAAUUUCAAAACUUCAUCCUGGUAGACCAUGAUAUGCAGUACAUCUUAAGUGGAAAAAAAAAGAAGCUACACUAUGAAUUGUAUAAUCCCAUUUUUGUAAAGUUAAGCAAAAUCAUCUCUCUCUCUCUAUCUCUGAUUACUUUGGGAUGUGGGAUUACAGGAUUUGGGGUUGGGGAUCAGAGAAUGUAGAGGGACUUUCACUUUUUAUUUUAUACUCUUCCAUAGCUUUAAAAUUAUUUUUCUUCCAUCAGUAUGUCCAAUUUUAUUAAUUAAA